This is a long non-coding RNA of Dermochelys coriacea (leatherback sea turtle), 147 nucleotides long. RefSeq lists it as uncharacterized. The transcript has 3 exons. The record is from RefSeq and is a predicted model, not a curated record. Lineage: Eukaryota; Metazoa; Chordata; Testudines; Dermochelyidae.
GAGACAAACACAGAGGGUGUAUGUCUACACUACACACUAAGCUUGGGCUCUGAAUCAGGUUUGAACCCAAAGCCCCCCUUCCAUGCAUAUACAAAUCAGCCUGACUCGGGUCAGCAAGCGCUCAGGACUGGGGUCCUAGGACCCCGC